GGGGUGGCUCCCCUAACAGCCG
RNAcentral lists this unclassified non-coding RNA (22 nucleotides) under synthetic construct. The record is from RNAcentral.